RNAcentral lists this unclassified non-coding RNA (208 nucleotides) under Hevea brasiliensis (rubber tree). Lineage: Eukaryota; Viridiplantae; Streptophyta; Magnoliopsida; Malpighiales; Euphorbiaceae. The record is from RNAcentral.
GGCUUUUGUGUGCGACUUUUCUGCAGAAUUUGAUGCAGCUCUCAGCUUUCUAAACCUUUGGCUUUUGUUCUGCUGGCAAUUGUUUGCUGUCUUUUGUGAUGCAACUUUGGUGCUGUAUUAUUGGCGUGUUUUGUACCUUUCUUUCUAUGCUUUUUCACUUGGAAUACCAUUGUUGGGUGUAAUAGGGAAGCCUAUCGGAUUGGUUUAA